Non-coding RNA from Hydra vulgaris (swiftwater hydra), 886 nucleotides. Lineage: Eukaryota; Metazoa; Cnidaria; Hydrozoa; Anthoathecata; Hydridae. The record is from RefSeq and is a predicted model, not a curated record.
CCAACUCAAAUCCUUUGAUGUGUUAUCAAUUCUCUUACAUGUUCUCCCUAAAUCUGUCGAUAUGCAUAUUAAUCCUUGCAUGUUCUAUCUAAAUUAGUUUAUACGUUGUAAGAAUUGUUUAAGGAAUAUUUUGUUAGCAUAUGACUCUUUCUAUGUUGUUGUGAAUUGUGAAAGGUUUAUUAUUUAGAUAAAUAAUAAGGUCAUUUAAAACAUUGGUUAAAUGGCAGACUGUAUGAAUUGGAAUGCAGAAUAUGUUGCAUUAGAAAUUUGUGAUAUAAAGUAAUGGAAAGUGUUGGUAUUUAUAAAAGGAAGAUUGUUUACAAUAACCUAGCUUGUAGUGCAAAUUUUUUAGAAAAAGUCUGCAAGGAGUGACAAAAUUGUAGCUUGCAACAAACCUCUUCCAGACUUUAACAUGAUGAUUCUUCAAACGCAACUCUUGCAAUUUCGUUGUGGCUUAUCGAUGUUUGUUAUAUUACUUAUUUAUAUCAACAGAAUACUAAAUCUGAAAAAUGUUUUUUAUAUUACAGGUUGUGCACCAGGACAAUAUUUUUUUAUUUUUAUUAGCUUAUAAGAAUUUUUUAUGUAUAGAGGUAUUUAGUAAAUAAAAUUUGAGAUAAUUAUGAAAAAAUUCAAACAAGACAUACUUGUUAAGAGGUUAUUUCUUAGUAAUUUUAAUAGUUAAGAGAUGAAAGAAAAGAUUUUUGAGUUUUGUUUUGUUAAACUGUUUGAGUUUUUAAAGAAUCAUUUUGAAAUUGUUUAUCAUUUUGCAAAUAUCAAUGCUUAGAUAUUUAUUGAUACUUAUGUCUUAAAUAGGGUUAAUACAUUUUUAUUAUUAUAUUUGUAUAUUGUGAAGAUCUUGUUUUUGAAAUAAUAUUUAAUAUCUUUG